UACCGGGUAAUACCUUUCUCCGCAUGGAGGAAGGUUGAAAGGCGGCCUUUUGGCUGUCACUUACAGAUGGGCCCGCGGCGCAUUAGCUAGUUGGUGGGGUAACGGCCUACCAAGGCAACGAUGCGUAGCCGACCUGAGAGGGUGAUCGGCCACACUGGGACUGAGACACGGCCCAGACUCCUACGGGAGGCAGCAGUAGGGAAUCUUCCGCAAUGGACGAAAGUCUGACGGAGCAACGCCGCGUGAACGAUGAAGGUCUUCGGAUCGUAAAGUUCUGUUGUCAGGGAAGAACAAGUACCGUUUGAACAAGGCGGUACCUUGACGGUACCUGACGAGGAAGCCCCGGCUAACUACGUGCCAGCAGCCGCGGUAAUACGUAGGGGGCGAGCGUUGUCCGGAAUUAUUGGGCGUAAAGCGCGCGCAGGCGGUUCCUUAAGUCUGAUGUGAAAGCCCACGGCUUAACCGUGGAGGGUCAUUGGAAACUGGGGAACUUGAGUACAGAAGAGGAGAGCGGAAUUCCACGUGUAGCGGUGAAAUGCGUAGAUAUGUGGAGGAACACCAGUGGCGAAGGCGGCUCUCUGGUCUGUAACUGACGCUGAGGCGCGAAAGCGUGGGGAGCGAACAGGA
RNAcentral lists this ribosomal RNA (627 nucleotides) under Sediminibacillus sp. SS13-9. RNAcentral describes it as "bacterial SSU rRNA". It matches the Rfam family "Bacterial small subunit ribosomal RNA", at positions 167 to 777 of the family's 1533-position model. Lineage: Bacteria; Bacillati; Bacillota; Bacilli; Caryophanales; Bacillaceae. The record is from RNAcentral.